Molecule: long non-coding RNA, 852 nt
Organism: Alligator mississippiensis (American alligator)
Lineage: Eukaryota; Metazoa; Chordata; Crocodylia; Alligatoridae
Exons: 2
Source: RefSeq, a predicted model, not a curated record
GGGAUGCUACGGCCAGGCCCUUGCAGAGCGCUCUCGCUGGCUUGGGUCAGGAGGCGCGUGACCUUUCUGCGCUACGACGGUGGUGGCUGGAGAAGCCCUGGGCAGGCUUUCAGAUGGGGCGCAGACCCUGCUUGGAGCGUGCCACGUUCUCCGCUUGAAGAGAACAAACACUUGUGACUAUUUGCAGGGGAGAAGGGAGCCGGCAAUGCAGCCCUUGGCCCUGGCUGCUCCGGAGCUAGGGAGCCGUCCUUGCGGCCGCGGCCUGCUCCGACCUGUUGCCCCGCAGCCGCAGCCGCAGCCAGCAGGCACUGCCUUUCCCAGCUCCAUGGGUGUGAUGGGCCCCGCGCCAAAGCCGCCUGCAGUCUACGGGAGUCCUUCCAGCAGGCUUUGGACCAGGGCUGCGGCUGGCAAGCGGGCGCAGACGCUAGUAAGGAUCCGGUCCACCCUGGCUGCAUGGCGCGCCCCUCCAAAAGCCGUCUUUCUGCACCGCUCCUCUCCCCGCGGCAUGGCCAGACAGCGGCAGAGCAGGGCUGUUUAUGUACGGGGAGCAGAUAAAAAAGGUCGGACUCUCUGCCAGGAAAGGAGACACGCUGCCUUUUCUCUAACCCCCAUGCAAGAGUGCUCGCGAUAGCGCCUUUCCAGCCAGCAACCUUCGCCUGGGAUCUCUAAGCAGAUUGUGCCUGUUUUCAUAUGGUUUCGUGCGCCACGAGCAGACACAUCCCGAUGCAUUUUCAAGUUGCGCCGUGCAUUUCUCCACAGACCUCUUUCUUGGGAGAGGGGCCGUGCCGAGCCACUCGGCUAAUGGCUUGUGAAACGGUUAUCUUGCUUGCAAAAUAAAGGCGACCACCUGUU